RNAcentral lists this long non-coding RNA (832 nucleotides) under Homo sapiens (human). RNAcentral describes it as "HSALNT0032958". Lineage: Eukaryota; Metazoa; Chordata; Mammalia; Primates; Hominidae. The record is from RNAcentral.
UUGUGAGAGUUUCAGCCUGGAGAGGACCACCCUGCUGGAAGGGUGUCCUGGGAAUGAAGUCCACGUAGCUCAACUCAGCUGUACUUCUCACCACGUGGCAAAGGAUGGACCAAAGGCUGGGAGCAACUGGGAGUGUCUGGACUCUGCCUUGAUUUCAGGUGCAUGAGAAGCUACUCAUGACAUCUCUCCAGGUCUGUAUUUUGCUAUCUAUAAAAUUUGUACUCUGUCAAAGCAUCAUCAAAGAUGCUCCAAGGUUAUUAUUAUUAUUAUUUUUUAAGUAUACUUAGUUCCCUUGGAGCAAGAGGUCAAAUUUCUGCCAGGAAGGUGCUAAUCAAGCCUGGCCUGUUGCACUAUUGAAACUUAAUUUUUUCUCUUAGAGAGAAUUUUCAAAUAGGAUUCAUAUUGCAAUCUUGAAAAUUGAGGCCCUAGAAUCUGAAUAUAAUUUGAUAAAUCAUCUGGUCUAGUGGGCACAUGGAAGCCCAAAGAGAUAAGAAUUUCCCAAAGUCACACAGCAAGUCAGUGGCAGAGCUGGUGAAUCCAGUCUCCAGACUCCUGGCCCAGUAUUCAUCCCAGAGUGGGACCAGAAAAUGGCCUAUCUCUUCUAUGGCAGAUCUUUGGAGCAUGCCCAUUAGAAUGGCUGAGGAGUAGGAGAGGUCCCAAGCAUCAGUGAUUUAGGUUGAGAGGAUGGCAUCCCUCAGGCGGAAAUGCACUUGAACUCUUUGCUUUUCUUUUCAGGACAGACAAGCAUUUCUCACAGCAAAAAUCGGUAAUUUUACAAAUCAUAUUCACCCAAGGUCUUUGCAAAUUGUAAUACUGCUAAAAAAUUAAAACA